ACUCAAAGGAAUAGACGGGGACCCGCACAAGCGGUGGAGCAUGUGCUUUAAUUCGAUGCAACGCGAAGAACCUUACCUGGUCUUGACAUAGUUCUGCUUGGUUUAGAGAUAGACUUUUCAGCAAUGACAGGACAUACAGAUGCUGCAUGGUUGUCGUCAGCUCGUGUCGUGAGAUGUUGGGUUAAGUCCCGCAACGAGCGCAACCCUUGCCGAUAGUUGCCAACGGGUAAUGCCGGGGACUCUAUUGGGACUGCCUUCGCAAGGAGGAGGAAGGUGGGGAUGACGUCAAAUCAUCAUGGCUCUUACGACCAGGGCUAGACACGUGCUACAAUGGUGACUACAAAGGGCAGCUACUUAGUAAUAAGAUGCGAAUCUCAAAAAAGUCAUCUCAGUUCGGAUAGAGGUCUGCAACUCGACCUCUUGAAGUUGGAAUCGCUAGUAAUCGUGGGUCAGCAUACCACGGUGAAUACGUUCCCGGGUCUUGUACACACCGCCCGU
Molecule: ribosomal RNA, 498 nt
Filed under: uncultured bacterium
Lineage: Bacteria
Description: bacterial SSU rRNA
Rfam family: Bacterial small subunit ribosomal RNA
Source: RNAcentral